CAAGUUAAAGCUUUAAGUUAAGUUUUUUAUUUACAUUAAAAAGAUUGCUGUUUAAUUCAGUGUAGUUUGA
Molecule: transfer RNA, 70 nt
Filed under: Vesta saturnalis
Lineage: Eukaryota; Metazoa; Arthropoda; Insecta; Coleoptera; Lampyridae
Also listed under: 1 other name
Description: tRNA-Val
Source: RNAcentral